UACAGAGGGGGCAAGCGUUGUUCGGAAUUACUGGGCGUAAAGGGCGCGUAGGCGGCCUGCUAAGUCGAACGUGAAAUCCCCGGGCUCAACCCGGGAACUGCAUUGGAUACUGCCUUGCUAGAGUACUGGAGAGGAAACUGGAAUUUACGGUGUAGCAGUGAAAUGCGUAGAGAUCGUAAGGAAGACCAGUGGCGAAGACGAGUUUCUGGACAGUUACUGACGCUGAGGCACGAAGGCCAGGGGAGCAAACGGG
This 253-nucleotide ribosomal RNA is filed under the name uncultured bacterium. RNAcentral's name for it is "partial 16S ribosomal RNA". It matches the Rfam family "Bacterial small subunit ribosomal RNA", at positions 524 to 776 of the family's 1533-position model. The record is from RNAcentral.